UCUUUCUCCAAAAAUUCAAAAUCUAUUUUUCUUUCAAUGGUCACAGCCCCUGAAGAAAAUGGGAUCAACUUUGAAGGAGAUGGCAUUGGCUGUGCUGAGGGCUGAACUGGGGUGGAAGUGAAUCACACAGAAGCUGGUGACGAUGGUGGAGCUGGAGCAGUCGGAUGAGGAGGAGGUGGAGUGUGAGCUGCUGGAGGUAGAGGAACCACCAAAGGAGGGGGGAAGAUGAAGCAGAGGUGGUCGGACGAGGUGGCAGAAAGGUUUGAGAAGACUCAAGCCAAUCAUGACGGUGCUUCGUCCGAUGUUCGAACCUUCUCGGAGCAAUCUGCUUCCUUGGCACCAUGGAUCCAAGAUUCUCCCAGAAAUACAGUGGAUUAGGGUUCUAGGAGAGGGAUUCUAGGAUUUCUAGGGUUUAGAGGUA
Molecule: long non-coding RNA, 421 nt
Filed under: Elaeis guineensis (African oil palm)
Lineage: Eukaryota; Viridiplantae; Streptophyta; Magnoliopsida; Arecales; Arecaceae
Description: long non-coding RNA (EGUI_LNC017561)
Source: RNAcentral